UGGACGUAUCAGAAGUGCGAAUGCUGACAUGAGUAACGAUAAAGGGGGUGAAAAACCUCCUCGCCGGAAGACCAAGGGUUCCUGUCCAACGUUAAUCGGGGCAGGGUAAGUCGACCCCUAAGGCGAGGCCGAAAGGCGUAGUCGAUGGGAAACGGGUUAAUAUUCCCGUACUUCUUACAAUUGCGAUGGGGGGACGGAGAAGGCUAGGUGGGCCUGGCGACGGUUGUCCAGGUUCAAGUGCGUAGGCUGAGAAAUUAGGUAAAUCCGGUUUCUCUUAAGGCUGAGACACGACGUCGAGCAUCUACGGAUGUGAAGUCAUUGAUGCCAUGCUUCCAGGAAAAGCCUCUAAGCUUCAGAUUGUAAGGAAUCGUACCCCAAACCGACACAGGUGGUCGGGUAGAGAAUACCAAGGCGCUUGAGAGAACUCGGGUGAAGGAACUAGGCAAAAUGGUACCGUAACUUCGGGAGAAGGUACGCUCUCGACGGUGAAGUCCCUCGCGGAUGGAGCUAUUGAGAGUCGCAGAUACCAGGUGGCUGCAACUGUUUAUUAAAAACACAGCACUGUGCAAAAUCGCAAGAUGACGUAUACGGUGUGACGCCUGCCCGGUGCCGGAAGGUUAAUUGAUGGGGUUAGACUU
Molecule: ribosomal RNA, 638 nt
Filed under: Vibrio alginolyticus
Lineage: Bacteria; Pseudomonadati; Pseudomonadota; Gammaproteobacteria; Vibrionales; Vibrionaceae
Description: bacterial LSU rRNA
Rfam family: Bacterial large subunit ribosomal RNA
Source: RNAcentral